RNAcentral lists this unclassified non-coding RNA (220 nucleotides) under Hevea brasiliensis (rubber tree). Lineage: Eukaryota; Viridiplantae; Streptophyta; Magnoliopsida; Malpighiales; Euphorbiaceae. The record is from RNAcentral.
UUUUGCUUCCACCGAGAUUUGGUUCAUCCCUAUUUAUUGGCAUAUCAAAAACAAUUGAAUUGGUGACCAACUAAAAAAGAUUCCUAGACUAUUUGACUGCGAGGUAAAUUUUCCUUUAUCUUACUCCAACAACUAAUUUUGACUAUCUCACGGUCUUACAUGAUUGAUGACUGGCCACAUCUUUCUAUGAUAUAAUUAUUAGUAUGCCAUACAGUUAUAG